GCCGGGCGUGGUGGCGCGCGCCUGUAGUCCCAGCUACUCGGGAGGCUGAGGUGGGAGGAUCGCUUGAGUCCAGGAGUUCUGGGCUGCAGUGCGCUAUGCCGAUCGGGUGUCCGCACUAAGUUCGGCAUCAAUAUGGUGACCUCCCGGGAGCGGGGGACCACCAGGUUGCCUAAGGAGGGGUGAACCGGCCCAGGUCGGAAACGGAGCAGGUCAAAACUCCCGUGCUGAUCAGUAGUGGGAUGGCGCCUGUGAAUAGCCACUGCACUCCAGCCUGGGCAAUAUAGUGAGACCCUGUCUCU
Unclassified non-coding RNA from Cavia aperea (Brazilian guinea pig), 299 nucleotides. It matches the Rfam family "Metazoan signal recognition particle RNA". From Rfam's summary of the family: The signal recognition particle (SRP) is a universally conserved ribonucleoprotein. It is involved in the co-translational targeting of proteins to membranes. The eukaryotic SRP consists of a 300-nucleotide 7S RNA and six proteins: SRPs 72, 68, 54, 19, 14, and 9. The record is from Ensembl. Lineage: Eukaryota; Metazoa; Chordata; Mammalia; Rodentia; Caviidae.